Equus caballus (horse) is the source of this 1965-nucleotide long non-coding RNA. NCBI's taxonomy places the organism in Eukaryota, Metazoa, Chordata, Mammalia, Perissodactyla, Equidae. The record is from Ensembl.
GAGCGUGUUAAACCACAGACCCCUGAAUCUUUCAGGCAGCUGGGUGUUAAUAUUCUCAUUCAGCAGGUGUGGAGUAGGGUCCAGGUGUCCGCUUUCCUUGCAAGGACUCCAGGUAGCAGUGACGGAGGUGGCCGGGAGACAACCUGGACAGAAGCACUGCUCUGCCUCAGAGAACUCUGAAUUCCCCACGGAAUGUGAGUUCCUGUUCUGGGACAGACCCCGCACUGCUAUGUGAGAAAAAUUAUGGUUUUGCAAUCAGCUGCCCCCAUAGCCCACCGUUGGGCCUCAGAAGGUAGCCUUGCUGUGGGUUCCCGAACUUUUUAAGGGAAGAAUUAACUCCACCUGUGCUUAUGUGGCAGCUCACAUUUAUGUGUCUGUCCCCAACCUGUGAUUAAAGGAAUCUGUGUUCCUCGCUAGGACCGCGACUGUCAUCUUCUGCCAUCCAGCUGCUAUCCGAAGCCUGCUUUCAGGAAAAUGACGCUGAGGAAGAGAACCUAAAGGACGCUCUAAUGGAGAUAUUCUAAGUUCCACCUUUGGACCCAAUCAAUGACCAGAUAAAAAUAACACUGUAAUGAAAUUAUGCCUUAAUAUUAUGUCUGAUUCUUAUUAAAAAUUGCUUCAAGCUACUUGCAAAUGAAUACUAUUUAUGCAUUUGUUGUGAAAUUGUUGCGAUAAGAUUGUCCAAUUUAGCAUCCGAAUCUUCAGGGCUGGGAGUAGCAGAGGAGAAAAGCCUUCUUCUCCUCUCGGGAGUUGCCACCUGCUCCCCUGUCUCACAUGGUAGAGGCCGCACCGUGUGUCCCGCUUCCCCACGGCGGCCACAAAGCUUAACGUUUGGUGUUUAAUUUACACACACAGCUGCUUUGUCCUGCUUUCCAUUCCACUGGAUUUUUCAUUUGGUGUUUAUCUGUAUUCUUUUGUUUUGUUUGCAAGAUGUCUUAACUGUUAGAGAGAGAAAAGAUAUGCAUUUCUUAAAAGUUGAAGUGUUAUUAUAUUAACAGGGAAAAUCAUGUAGCGUUACUUUGUUACCAGCUAUUAAUAUGAUGCAUUAGACAGGUAACAUGUCAUUUCUAGUGAUCAUAAGCCAUCCGUGUGCACACAAGUGCAGUGUGGGCCAUGGAUCCCUCAGCGCAUGGGGAGGGUUGGACAAGGCAAGGCAGUUGUCCCACUCAUUCUGUGUCCAUCCAUUAUCUUCUCUUCACUCUCUCCUAUCACAGUCUUGUGUCUAAUGAAAGGACCUAGAAGGCUCCUUUUGCAGAAACGUCAUGUUUGUCCUCCUUGAGGUUCUGAGCUUGUCUCUCUUCCAAUCCCUCCCUCCCUGAGCUGGGGGAUUUAUAACUUCAAUAGGUUUUAACUGCCUCUCUAAGCUGAUGGCUCCCGACCCGAACUUCCAGCUGCAAGAUCUUUCCGAGUUCCAGAACCUAGUAGAAUCAAAUGAGGCCUCUGCUGCUGUACCGAAAGUCUUGGAAAAUAGUGGACAAGUCAAACCAUGGUGUUGCAUUCGGAGAGUUAACUGCACUCGAGGAGGGCUAAUAAGCAGAAGUUGGGGUAACACCUGUGUGUCUUGAAAAGACACUUCUAUUUUGCAGUCUAGAUUCUCCUUUCUCUGCAGAUCUUUCGUUAUCCCUCUACCCAACGGUUUCUGCCUGUUACUUGAAAAAUCCAUUCCAUGGUCACGUAGGUUGUGAAGUCCCUGUCUUCUCAGACACCGGUUACAAGGGAUCUGUAAGGGGAGAGUAUGUAGACCUGUGGUUAUUGAGUCUCAGACGCCCCUUACUACCAUCGUUUCACGUGCCUGGCAAGCGUCUGCCUUCUUGCUCCUUCUGCUUCUAGGGCUCACAGCAGCCGCUCGUGGCUGGCCCAGGUCUGUGGGCUGCUCUGUCCGGUCACCUAGCUGACUCCAGCAUGCCCUCAGUCUUCCUUAUGACAGGUUUGUGCUGUGGGCAGGCACACUCCACGCUGCUGUUG